CCACCGCCCAGUCACAGGCUUUGUAUAGGAUGUCGGUCAUCCUCCUGUCUUUUAUUUUAUUUAUUUUUUUUGCCAUUUGUAAUAAAGGGGACGCCAGCACACCCUCAAGAAAGGUUUCAUCCAACUUUGCUCACUGGCGCAUAUCGUGCGCCCGGGAAGCUGCAGAUUCCCGUCACCCACAAGUGCAGCCGCAGCCUUCUCCUGGACGCGGGGAAGCAGAUAGCUGCCAGAAAACUCAUGUAGGACUGAAACCAACUGGGUGCUUGCCAGGCUACCACUCUUCUUGUGGAAGACCACAAUAGAAGUCAUGCAAGGAAAGCAAUGCAUUUGAAGCACAGAAGCCACAUGAACGGGAUCCAUCUCUCUCACAGGGAAUAUAUCCCCAAUCUUUUUAUCCACAACUACAGAUACAGGAGACUUAGCAACUUUGAUCCUGGCACAAACUCCUUGAAGUGUUCGAUAGUUCCUUAUACUUUGUAAUGAAAUUUGCAACAUGCAAACAUGAAGUUGCCUUU
Gavialis gangeticus (Gharial) is the source of this 515-nucleotide long non-coding RNA. RefSeq lists it as uncharacterized. The transcript has 3 exons. NCBI's taxonomy places the organism in Eukaryota, Metazoa, Chordata, Crocodylia, Gavialidae. The record is from RefSeq and is a predicted model, not a curated record.